Long non-coding RNA from Leptonychotes weddellii (Weddell seal), 1680 nucleotides. RefSeq lists it as uncharacterized. NCBI's taxonomy places the organism in Eukaryota, Metazoa, Chordata, Mammalia, Carnivora, Phocidae. The record is from RefSeq and is a predicted model, not a curated record.
CAGCGGAGGGGCAGCCGGGGGUCGGCAGAGCGGGGGUGGCGCCUGGGGGCUCGCGGAACCCGGCGCAGUAAGCCACCAGCAGGGUUUUAAAAGAGUCGGCACGAAACAGAGCGGAGAUAGACCAACGGAAGAUGUGAAGUGACAUGCAUGACUUGCGCUAGAUUUCUCUUGGUCGCAGACCUGGACCGAGAAGUCAGGUCCUGGCGUUUCACGACUGCAGUACAGUUUAACUUUCGGGAGUCCGUUGACACACCUCUGCCAGUUCUCUUGUGAAACAAAAAUUGGACUGUAUGUGUAGCUUGUGAGAUCCUGCUCAGUGGGGCCUAUGUCUUCUGCCUCUGUAAGUGUUUGUUGGAUGAAUGACAACCAUGGGAACUCUCCAGGGAUCCCCUUUUGUCACCAUAGAAACUCCAGGAAUCUUCUCUUUGGUGUGAUCUUAAUGGAUCCUUGGUGAUCCCCAGCAGACAUACCCUCGCUAGAUCCUCAGGGCUCCUUUGUUGCAUAGCCUGAUGAGCUCUUCCGGGAUCCUGUCCUUACAUGACCUCAGGGAAUCUCCAGAGAUCUUCCAAUAAAGUGUCAGUGGAUCCGCAGGGACUCCCUCCUGACACAGCCUCAGGCAGUCUCCUGGGAUUCUCUCCUAGUGGAGCUCAGGAAGGCCCCAGGGACCUCUUCCCAAUAUACAGCCCCGAGGCCUCAGAAAUCCUCUCAGAGGCUGGCUCCUAACAGCCUCCGGGGUCCCCUAUGGACAUCACUGGGGACCUCAGGGGUUCUGUGCAGCUCUUCUGGCUCAUUGCAAGAAUCAGCGAGGUGACAGCAGGACUGAAGAUGAUGGAAGUAGAGUUCACAGAGAAAAAAUGGACAGUAGUUAGUGACUGGCUGCAUGCAAUUAUAGCAUCUUAGAUCGGUUGUCCCUAUAGCUUGAGGAUGCUUUCCUGCCUCAGGUCUCCUGGGGGAAGGAGCAAGACUGACACCAAGAUUGAUGAAGGCUUCAGGACCCUCUGAGCAAAGGGUUAGUAGUGCCAAUCACAGAAACAGGAGAGCAAGGGGUCAGCCUGUUUGCAGCCUACGUUUAUGAUUGGUUUAGGAUGACUUGGGUCAAGGUCACGGAUGUAAGACCUCAGCCAAGCACGAGGUUAGAGGACAGAUUAGUCUCCAGACAAGGAGAUGGGAGGAUCUGCCAGGGCAAAGUCACAGGAAUAGGUCAGCAUCGUGGCAACAUAAUCAAAACACAAAGCCAAGAAGAAACAAUCCCCAGAAAUGGAUUUUGGCUGGGGAGCUUGGUAAGGAUAGGAUGUAAAAGGAGCGUUUGAUAGAAGGCCAGGUGUAUAAACUGAGUAUAACAUAUGUACAGUCUAGGAAUGGGAUCUCUGCAGGCAUCAAACAGGACAGAUGCAUGAACCAGAAUGAAUGAGUGGAGCACUUUGUAUUUAUUUGUGCAACAAAUAAUUUUUAAAAGAUUUGUUUAUUUGAGAGAGGGCAUGGGGGAUGGGGGAUGGUGGCAGAUGAGGAGGGAGAGGAAGAAGCCAACUCCCCGCUGAGCGCGCAGAGCCCACACAGGGCUCAAACCUAUGACCCCGAGAUAAUGACCUAAACCAAAAUCAAGAGUCAGAAGUUCAACAGACUGAACCACCCAGGCACCCCUGUGCAACAAAUAAUUUUUUUUUAAUUUAUUUGAGAGAG